UGGCCGGGCUGGGCUGGGCAGGAGGGUGUCCCGCCAGCCUGCUGGGAAUUGUUUUGCUCUCCCAACAGGCGAUGCCAGCUCGGCCGCAGACUCGGGAGCAGGGAGCAGCAGGGCCUUAUAAGGAAGCAAAGCACAGCUCAGCCAUUCUGAGGGGCAGCGGGACCUGCCAGGGCCGUGCCUCAGCGCGGGGACCACGGAAUCACCGAGCCCAGGCGACGGAACCCGAGCCGGGCAGCGCCGGGGGUGGCGGGAAGGCAGCCCCGUAAACAGGCUCCUGCAAAAGGGGCACCGGGGAAAACACACGUGUGCCUUGAGAAUGAGAAGAAAGGCGAGAAAGAGAAGGAAAGAAAAAAACACGACUAGAAAGGCCGGCCACUUUUCGCACGGAGCCUUAUUUGGUAUUUUCAUGAAAAGUUAUAUCUUCACACUGUAAAAAACGCCACUUAUUACUCAUGCUUUACUAGCAGGGACCCGCUGGCAUCAAAGCAAGGACUGGAGCCCAGGUCAAAGCCUGGAGAGAUUUGUGACCUAUCACAGAGCUCUGCUGAGCCUCUCAAAAAGCUCCAGGAUGUCUAAACAAGGAGAAACCAACUCCAGGAUGCAACAAGCUCCAGGAUGAAACAAACAAGAAGAGAGGAAAAAGAGGAGGACAUGGGAGAGAAGCAUGCUCAGAGUCCAUCCCGUAGGAUCACCAGGAUGUCAUUUCCCACAGGUCUUCCACAGACAUCCUUCUCUGCAUCAGCCAUAACCAUGAUGUUUGAAGAACAAAAUCCCAGGGAUUUUUGCUUGCAAGAGAUUCCUCCUCCCUCCCCAUAGCUUGGGGAAAGGGAAUGAAACUGCAGGCUCUGCGAGGAGCAGAGCCUGAGCCCUCCCCACCAAUUCCCAGCUGGGAGACUUGGCUAUGGCUCCCCCAGCUUCUCCCCAGGGCUUCUCCCCCAGCUGGCCUCUCCUCUGGCCCACUGGCUGGGAAUUUGCAAGCACUUCGGUGCCAAGGAGCUGCCGAUGAUGUUAUCCCUCCUCCCAGACCAGCGUGGGGAGCACGGCUGCUCUCUGGGGGUGCAGAACUCCAGGGGGCUGAGAGACCAUCCCCACUUUGAACAGGGACCCCCAGGCUCGGGGAGAGCAUCGCCCAAGGCUUGUCUUGGAGCCUUGUGCAGGGAUCAGGCUGCUCUGCUGCUGGAAUCUCCAAAGGGAAGAGCAGGGAGCCAGAGCUGAGCUAUGGCUGCCCAUCCCACCUCUCCACACUUCUCCACGUGCAGCCCAUCAUCUGUUUGUCCUAGGAGACACCAAGUCCCUUGGGGUGAGCCAGCAGC
Prinia subflava (tawny-flanked prinia) is the source of this 1313-nucleotide long non-coding RNA. RefSeq lists it as uncharacterized. The transcript has 3 exons. NCBI's taxonomy places the organism in Eukaryota, Metazoa, Chordata, Aves, Passeriformes, Cisticolidae. The record is from RefSeq and is a predicted model, not a curated record.